UAAUACGUAGGCAGCAAGCGUUGUUCGGAGUUACUGGGCGUAAAGAGUACGUAGGCGGUUUGCUAAGUCUGGUGUGAAAUCUCCUGGCUUAACUGGGAGGGUGCGCUAGAUACUGGCAGGCUUGAGUAUGGGAGAGGAGAGUGGAAUUCCUGGUGUAGCGGUGAAAUGCGUAGAUAUCAGGAGGAACGCCGGUGGUGUAGACGGCUCUCUGGACCAUUACUGACGCUGAGGUACGAAAGCGUGGGUAGCAAACAGGAUUAGAUACCCUGGUAGUCCACGCCCUAAACGAUGCGGACUUGGUGUGGGCAGUUCAGUCUGUCUGUGCCGGAGCUAACGCGUUAAGUCCGCCGCCUGGGGAGUACGGUCGCAAGGCUGAAACUUAAAUGAAUUGACGG
This 395-nucleotide ribosomal RNA is filed under the name uncultured bacterium. RNAcentral's name for it is "bacterial SSU rRNA". It matches the Rfam family "Bacterial small subunit ribosomal RNA", at positions 521 to 916 of the family's 1533-position model. The record is from RNAcentral.